CACGUAGGGUGCGAGCGUUGUCCGGAAUUAUUGGGCGUAAAGAGCUCGUAGGCGGUGUGUCGCGUCGGCCGUGAAAACCUGCAGCUUAACUGUGGGCUUGCGGUCGAUACGGGCAUCACUGGAGUUCGGCAGGGGAGACUAGAAUUCCUGGUGUAGCGGUGAAAUGCGCAGAUAUCAGGAGGAACACCGGUGGCGAAGGCGGGUCUCUGGGCCGAUACUGACGCUGAGGAGCGAAAGCGUGGGGGAGCGAACAGG
Molecule: ribosomal RNA, 255 nt
Filed under: uncultured bacterium
Lineage: Bacteria
Description: partial 16S ribosomal RNA
Rfam family: Bacterial small subunit ribosomal RNA
Source: RNAcentral